Molecule: long non-coding RNA, 539 nt
Filed under: Anser brachyrhynchus (Pink-footed goose)
Lineage: Eukaryota; Metazoa; Chordata; Aves; Anseriformes; Anatidae
Description: lncRNA (ENSABRG00000021821.1)
Source: RNAcentral
AGCCCUCAAGACAGAAUCACGGAACAUACAGCUGAUGUGUGAGAAAGGAGACCAUAGGUGGAGAGAAGAAAAAAGGAAGAAACAUCGUCAUAGGAAUGCCAAGGUGGUUGUUUUGAUCAAGUAGAUUAACUCAAGCCACAUUGAAAGCAGUCUGGCAGACUCAAUGUGAGCUGUUAGCAACGGUAUUUGAUUUCAAUUUAAACAAAUGAUCAGGAAAGUAGGUCAAGUAUUCAUGGGCUGGCCUGUCUGCGAAGAUAACCAUUAACCUCUCUAAUCAACUUAGCCAGAAGUUCAAGGCACUUUAAAGUGAAGAUUAUUGGGCCAGGACAGCAUGAAGGACAGUAUGAAGCAUGUUCUGCAGCCUUCUUACCCAAGGAAGAGAAGAAUGGUGAUAAUCUGGAGCUGUGCUCAUGCUUCCUACCUCCUGACUGGGCCCCAACCUGAGGUGGAGCUAACUGACCAGGACACAUGAAACUGCUGGACACGACAUGAGAAAUUGCUGGCUGUGAGAGGUGACAUUGUAAGCAGCUGCUGAAUGU